GGGAGAUUAGAAGCUUCUAAAGGGUGCUUGCCUCUCCCUUUUACCCAAUGAUAUCCUCUUUUAACCCAAAAUCAUCAAUCCUUUAUGUUGUAUGCGUAUCUAUCAAAAGUAUAUACUCACAUAAAGACGAGACUGGGAAUUCAAGUUGAUCUCUUGUAUGGUUUCUUUCUUGCAGUAUAUAUUCUGCUCAUUAUGAUCAUUUUUGCUUGAGAAACGCUCAAUGCAGGCAUUUGCCUGCAGUGGGCUAAGCGUGGGUCCGCCCUUUUAUGCCUUCUCCAACACUAAUAGUUAUCUUGAUUUUACAAUGGCUUUCAAAGUCGUCCAUUGUCAUUGUAGGUAUUAAGAGCAUUUCUAAGAGAUUUUCUAUUUUUAGAAAGCAUAUUGUGUAAUUUAGAGAGCAUUUAUAAAUUUUAAGAGUAAAAAUUUUUAAGUACUCCAAUAGAAUCUUCAUAUUUAAUGCUUAAAUUUACUACUUUAAAGAAAUAUUUAUUGCUUUUGUUUUUCCCUCUCUUUUAUUUUCAC
This 522-nucleotide long non-coding RNA is filed under the name Olea europaea subsp. europaea. The record is from RNAcentral. Lineage: Eukaryota; Viridiplantae; Streptophyta; Magnoliopsida; Lamiales; Oleaceae.